AGUGAACGCUGGCGGUAGGCCUAACACAUGCAAGUCGAACGGCAGCACAGUAAGAGCUUGCUCUUACGGGUGGCGAGUGGCGGACGGGUGACGAAUACAUCGGAAUCUACUUUUUCGUGGGGGAUAACGUAGGGAAACUUACGCUAAUACCGCAUACGACCUACGGGUGAAAGCAGGGGAUCUUCAGACCUUGCGCGAUUGAAUGAGCCGAUGUCGGAUUAGCUAGUUGGCGGGGUAAGGGCCCACCAAGGCGACGAUCCGUAGCUGGUCUGAGAGGAUGAUCAGCCACACUGGAACUGAGACACGGUCCAGACUCCUACGGGAGGCAGCAGUGGGGAAUAUUGGACAAUGGGCGCAAGCCUGACCCAGCCAUACCGCGUGGGUGAAGAAGGCCUUCGGGUUGUAAAGCCCUUUUGUUGGGAAAGAAAAGCAGCAGGUUAAUACCCCGCUGUUCUGACGGUACCCAAAGAAUAAGCACCGGCUAACUUCGUG
This 492-nucleotide ribosomal RNA is filed under the name uncultured bacterium. RNAcentral's name for it is "partial 16S ribosomal RNA". It matches the Rfam family "Bacterial small subunit ribosomal RNA", at positions 29 to 507 of the family's 1533-position model. The record is from RNAcentral.